Molecule: long non-coding RNA, 362 nt
Filed under: Sorghum bicolor (sorghum)
Lineage: Eukaryota; Viridiplantae; Streptophyta; Magnoliopsida; Poales; Poaceae
Description: long non-coding RNA (SBIC_LNC002708)
Source: RNAcentral
UGGAUAAUUUCCCGGGUGAAGUGCUCACCGAUAUCCGUGCGCUUGCGGAUCAAUUCCUUAUUGCGUUCCCAAAUAUCAACAAGCAUUUCUGGCGCCGUUGCCGGGGAGAAAGACGGUUGCUGAGAUAACCUGUGUCUUGCUACUAGCUUGUAUCUAUACUUUUAUCUUCUUUAUCUUUUAUAUCCUUUAUUUAUUUUUCUUUAUUCUUACCUUAUGGAAAACCAAAAUUCUAAAUCGAUCCAUGAGUCUGCAAUCCCUUUAGUAACUAACCUUUUACCAUGGGAAUCAUCACAGCCUAUCCAAACACCCCAGUAUAAGUUAAGUUCUAGGUUGAUUGCCAUGAUUCAAAACCUAUCUUUUUC